This 47-nucleotide non-coding RNA is filed under the name uncultured Alsobacter sp. RNAcentral's name for it is "serC leader". It matches the Rfam family "serC leader". From Rfam's summary of the family: This family is a putative regulatory RNA structure that is found upstream of the serC-serA operon in some alpha-proteobacteria. The final stem of the structure overlaps the ribosome binding site of the serC reading frame. Lineage: Bacteria; Pseudomonadati; Pseudomonadota; Alphaproteobacteria; Hyphomicrobiales; Alsobacteraceae. The record is from RNAcentral.
CGGCGGGACACUCCCCCCCAACGGGGAGCGCCCAUCUGCAAGGAUGG